RNAcentral lists this ribosomal RNA (253 nucleotides) under uncultured bacterium. Its description in RNAcentral is "partial 16S ribosomal RNA". It matches the Rfam family "Bacterial small subunit ribosomal RNA", at positions 524 to 776 of the family's 1533-position model. The record is from RNAcentral.
UACAGAGGUCGCGAGCGUUAAUCGGAUUUACUGGGCGUAAAGCGUGUGUAGGUGGUUGUUCAAGUCGGUUGUGAAAUCCCCGGGCUCAACCUGGGAACUGCUUCCGAGACUGAGCGACUAGAGAUCGGUAGAGGGCGGUGGAAUUUCCGGUGUAGCGGUGAAAUGCGUAGAUAUCGGAAGGAACACCAAUGGCGAAGGCAGCCGCCUGGGCCUGAUCUGACACUGAGACACGAAAGCGUGGGGAUCAAACAGG